UGCUCUGCCUGGCCCAGACCAUCCACACGCAGGAGGGGGCCCUGCCCAGACCCUCCAUCUCGGCUGAGCCAGGCACUGUGAUCCCCCAGGGGAGCCAUGUGACUUUCGUGUGCCGGGGCCCGGUUGGGGUUCAAACAUUCCGCCUGGAGAGGGAGAGUAGAUCCACAUACAAUGAUACUGAAGAUGUGUCUCAAGCUAGUCCAUCUGAGUCAGAGGCCAGAUUCCGCAUUGACUCAGUAAGUGAAGGAAAUGCCGGGCUUUAUCGCUGCAUCUAUUAUAAGCCCCC
RNAcentral lists this small RNA (286 nucleotides) under Pan troglodytes (chimpanzee). RNAcentral describes it as "processed transcript". The record is from RNAcentral. Lineage: Eukaryota; Metazoa; Chordata; Mammalia; Primates; Hominidae.